AUCAUGGAGAGUUUGAUCCUGGCUCAGAACGAACGCUGGCGGCGCGUCUUAAGCAUGCAAGUCGAGCGGCAAGGGGUAGCAAUA
RNAcentral lists this ribosomal RNA (84 nucleotides) under Treponema sp. Its description in RNAcentral is "partial 16S ribosomal RNA". It matches the Rfam family "Bacterial small subunit ribosomal RNA", at positions 1 to 84 of the family's 1533-position model. The record is from RNAcentral. Lineage: Bacteria; Pseudomonadati; Spirochaetota; Spirochaetia; Treponematales; Treponemataceae.